Bubalus bubalis (water buffalo) is the source of this 576-nucleotide long non-coding RNA. RefSeq lists it as uncharacterized. The record is from RefSeq and is a predicted model, not a curated record. The transcript has 2 exons. Lineage: Eukaryota; Metazoa; Chordata; Mammalia; Artiodactyla; Bovidae.
CGAAGGUUCGCAGGACAGCAGUGCCGCGCGCCUGCAGUUCCGCCUUCCGGCAGUUCCGCGGACAGUCCCGCGGCUGAGUGCGCUCCGAGCUGGGACCUGCUGCCCACACAGGCCUGAAGGAGUUUCAGGCAGAGAGGGAACUCGAGUGCCUUGAAUGAAAAUGGCAGCGCUUCCAGGAUUGCUCCCAAGCCUAGGAUUCCUUCUCGGUGAUGCAGACGGAACAAGGAGCUGCCUGGGGAUGAAGCAGUUAUUCGAUAGAUUCCCAACAAACCUAUUACUGGCUCUGCUGGAUCUCCCCCUCUUUCAUCCCAGCCUCAGGAAAAUGACUUACUCCACUGGUCCUCACUGCUCACUUGUUAUUCCUUCUGCCAGAACUGCUUCCGCAGAUAUCUCCCUCCACCCGGCUAACUCCUACACACUCUUCAGGUCUCAGCACCAAUAGCUGUCUCAUCAGACUCCCUCUCAGAUUCAGUUAAGCCCUUUAUUUCAGGUUUCCCCAGCAACUGUACAAUUUAUCUUAUGAUUGAUUGAAGUUAUCUUAUAAUUUUACAAUUAAAAUGUACGAUUAUUUAUCUA